GGUUGGCAACCUGGCAUCCAAGAAGGAGCAGCAGAUUGGGAUGAGGAUUGGGAUAAGUAUGAAGAUGAAGGAUUCACAUUGCUAAAAGAGCUCACCCUCGAUGUAGCUAAUGUCAUAGCUCCUCCUAAACAGAAGUCUUCCUUGAUUCGGGAUAAAGUAUCUUUGGAUGACAGUGAGACUG
Molecule: long non-coding RNA, 181 nt
Organism: Ipomoea triloba (trilobed morning glory)
Lineage: Eukaryota; Viridiplantae; Streptophyta; Magnoliopsida; Solanales; Convolvulaceae
Exons: 2
Source: RefSeq, a predicted model, not a curated record